CACACACAUCCUUCGCUGUUCUGAAAGAAGUUGCCGCGCUGUCAGUCAAAUAAAGCUCACUGAAGCGUGCCGUGUGCCAUCAGCGACACGAGAACUACAUGAGGAAGUCGCAUGCGCACAUCUGAACACUUAUGAUCGUGGAGGAAGCAGAUGGACUGCUUUCUGUGUGAGAGAUCUAGUCAAACAUGACACUCCCUCAACGCAGACACGUGCUUUGAGCCUAGGUAACAUAAAAACUGUUUAGACACGUCCCACUGGGGGAGGGUGAGAUGACAUGCACACACUUUGAUAACUCAGAAGCUAGAUGACUGGCUGCUGGUGUGUUCAGGUAGGGAUCAGUCUCUGCUAAUGUUCAGCUGGCUUCUUUCCUAGAGCCUCAGCUCGCUCCGUCUUCCAGCCUUACAUCACUUGAAGCUCCUCAGAUGUUUGAGGCCACAUCCUUUCAUCUGUUGUUUCCGUGUGAAGAUGGAGGGUGUUCUGGAUGUUACGCUCUGUCUGUGUGUGUGCAAACUGAUGAGCAGCAUGCUGCUGUGUUCGUCUGUGGUCACGCACACCAUCACUGCGGUUAGUCUGUGCUGCAGCUGCCUGCUGUUAUUUACAGACCUCGCUGUCACCAUGUUUUUGCUUUACGUCUGGCUCAUGGAGUCCUCUCUGACGCCUUUUUACGUGUCUUCGGAUGUCAUCGCCCUUCGAUUCCUGCUCUUCCUUUGCCAGGCCUACGGUGUUGUGUUGCUGCUGAUGCCACCUUUGAUUGCUGUGGAGUUGUUGCUUGAUCUGCUGCAUUCUCAAGAGGUGCGACUAAAGGGACAAGAUGCAAGACAGCGAGAUGCAAGUGAAUCCCUCUCUAUGACAGUUGGCUAUUUGGGAUGUCUUCUAGCAUGGAGCGUGAGCGGGAUCUACAGCAGCCAUGACUGGACGCUGGAGCAGAUCUCAGUGGAAACCUGUCGGGAAAAAGGUGGCCAUCUUCUCACCUGCCUUCCCAGCGCUGAUGAGUUUUCCUGGGUUCUUCCUGCUGUGGUGGUCCUGUUGAGCCUGACGGGGAGCCUGGGUCUGUUCAGGAUGAAGGCGUCCAGAAGACAGCCUGACUCAUCUGAAAACACACAGACGGGCGUGAAAAAGGACUGUUUGGGCCCUGGGCUAAUGCAUAUGUCUCAAACUCUGGUUGACUCAGAAAAAACACCCAACAGCUGUGGCUUUCACAUGGCUGGGUUUGUGUAUGGUGAGCCACGAUGGAUCUGUCCUGGGAGCGGUGUCCAGUGCGCUCAACAAACCGGUUUGGCAGACAUUAUCAAGAAACAAAAGCAAUCAUCCAGCCAUGCAACAUUUGCUCAGUCCAAAACCGAUCUUCUUAUGGAUGUCACAUCAUUGGCGCUCAAAAUGGAGCAAUGUGUAUUUAACAGAACAGACCCAAAGUCUCAAAGAAGACACUGUUGGUUUCACAAAAGGGAAAGUCCCUGCUCAGGGCGAGAAAUCUUCGCAGGGUUGGUAUGCAUGGUUAUGGUUUGUGUUUUCCCCACAGCCGUCAGUGGAAAUAUUCUCCUAAUCUUUAACCUGGAGAAUUUGGUGGC
This is a long non-coding RNA of Cyprinus carpio carpio, 1568 nucleotides long. The record is from Ensembl. NCBI's taxonomy places the organism in Eukaryota, Metazoa, Chordata, Actinopteri, Cypriniformes, Cyprinidae.